GACGAACGCUGGCGGCGUGCUUAACACAUGCAAGUCGAACGGAAAGACCCUGCUUUUGUGGGGUGCUCGAUUGGCGAACGGGUGAGUAACACGUGAGUAACCUGCCCUUGACUUUGGGAUAACUUCAGGAAACUGGGGCUAAUACCGGAUAGGAGCUCCUGCUGCAUGGUGGGGGUUGGAAAGUUUCGGCGGUUGGGGAUGGACUCGCGGCUUAUCAGCUUGUUGGUGGGGUAGUGGCUUACCAAGGCUUUGACGGGUAGCCGGCCUGAGAGGGUGACCGGCCACAUGGGGACUGAGAUACGGCCCAGACUCCUACGGGAGGCAGCAGUGGGGAAUAUUGCACAAUGGGCGGAAGCCUGAUGCAGCAACGCCGCGUGCGGGAUGACGGCCUUCGGGUUGUAAACCGCUUUCGCCUGUGACGAAGCGUGAGUGACGGUAAUGGGUAAAGAAGCACCGGCUAACUACGUG
Molecule: ribosomal RNA, 468 nt
Filed under: uncultured bacterium
Lineage: Bacteria
Description: partial 16S ribosomal RNA
Rfam family: Bacterial small subunit ribosomal RNA
Source: RNAcentral